RNAcentral lists this ribosomal RNA (253 nucleotides) under uncultured bacterium. RNAcentral describes it as "partial 16S ribosomal RNA". It matches the Rfam family "Bacterial small subunit ribosomal RNA", at positions 524 to 776 of the family's 1533-position model. The record is from RNAcentral.
UACGGAGGGUGCAAACGUUGCUCGGAAUCAUUGGGCGUAAAGCGCACGUAGGCGGACCAUCAAGUCGGUUGUGAAAUCCCUCGGCUUAACCGAGGACGUGCAUUCGAAACUGAUGGCCUUGAGUACGAAAGAGGAUCGCGGAAUUCCCGGUGUAGAGGUGAAAUUCGUAGAUAUCGGGAGGAACACCAGUGGCGAAGGCGGCGAUCUGGGUCGAUACUGACGCUGAGGAGCGAAAGUGUGGGGAGCGAACAGG